Molecule: long non-coding RNA, 607 nt
Organism: Drosophila albomicans
Lineage: Eukaryota; Metazoa; Arthropoda; Insecta; Diptera; Drosophilidae
Exons: 3
Source: RefSeq, a predicted model, not a curated record
UAUUUUUAUGGCGUCAAAAAUUGAAAAAAUAUUUGUUCAGAAUUUACAUAUUCAAUCAGAAAGUUUGCCAACUAACUGAGCGCCGCCCAUCGAAUUUUGGAAAGGCAGCAAAAUAAAUUAAAACACAAAGGCACAAAUUUAAUGGAAACAAUAUUAGUUGCAAAAUAAUUAUACAUUCGUUCGUACUCAUAUUUCCAUAAUUGAAGUAUUAUAAAAGCGAGCUCGAAAUUAUGAAAGUAUUUAUUCAAUUGACUCUCUGACAUUUUAAGAGCAUUAUUCAGCAUUUUUAAAUUUUCAUAUAAUCCUCUCAUGGCAACUGACCUCAAUGAAGUGUUAGAGCUGUGCAUAACAGCUCCGCAAAAAAAAAACAGAAAGGGAGGAACGGAAAUUAUUGCGGCUCAAUAAAACAUGUAAGCAAACACACAGAUAAAGUCGUACAGCCAAACUAAAUUCAAAAAUAUGCAAAUGCCUGGCAAACUUUGAUUGCACUUGACCCGAAAAAAAAUAUUGCCUUAGAUUUGCUAGCAAAGUUCUCUGAGGAAGCAAUUUAAUUCACUGGAAUAUAUGUACAAAGAAAUAUCGAGUUAACAGAUGGAUUCGUUUUUUA